Molecule: ribosomal RNA, 872 nt
Filed under: uncultured Bacteroidota bacterium
Lineage: Bacteria; Pseudomonadati; Bacteroidota
Description: bacterial SSU rRNA
Rfam family: Bacterial small subunit ribosomal RNA
Source: RNAcentral
CAUGCAAGUCGAGGGGAAACGACAUCGAAAGCUUGCUUUUGAUGGGCGUCGACCGGCGCACGGGUGAGUAACGCGUAUCCAACCUGCCCACCACUUGGGGAUAACCUUGCGAAAGUAAGACUAAUACCCAAUGACGUCUCUAGAAGACAUCUGAAAGAGAUUAAAGAUUUAUCGGUGAUGGAUGGGGAUGCGUCUGAUUAGCUUGUUGGCGGGGUAACGGCCCACCAAGGCAACGAUCAGUAGGGGUUCUGAGAGGAAGGUCCCCCACAUUGGAACUGAGACACGGUCCAAACUCCUACGGGAGGCAGCAGUGAGGAAUAUUGGUCAAUGGACGAGAGUCUGAACCAGCCAAGUAGCGUGCAGGAUGACGGCCCUAUGGGUUGUAAACUGCUUUUAUAAGGGAAUAAAGUGAGUCUCGUGAGACUUUUUGCAUGUACCUUAUGAAUAAGGACCGGCUAAUUCCGUGCCAGCAGCCGCGGUAAUACGGAAGGUCCGGGCGUUAUCCGGAUUUAUUGGGUUUAAAGGGAGCGUAGGCCGGAGAUUAAGCGUGUUGUGAAAUGUAGACGCUCAACGUCUGCACUGCAGCGCGAACUGGUUUCCUUGAGUACGCACAAAGUGGGCGGAAUUCGUGGUGUAGCGGUGAAAUGCUUAGAUAUCACGAAGAACUCCGAUUGCGAAGGCAGCUCACUGGAGCGCAACUGACGCUGAAGCUCGAAAGUGCGGGUAUCGAACAGGAUUAGAUACCCUGGUAGUCCGCACGGUAAACGAUGGAUGCCCGCUGUUGGUCUGAAUAGGUCAGCGGCCAAGCGAAAGCAUUAAGCAUCCCACCUGGGGAGUACGCCGGCAACGGUGCAACUCAAAUGAAUUGACGG